This 253-nucleotide ribosomal RNA is filed under the name uncultured bacterium. RNAcentral describes it as "partial 16S ribosomal RNA". It matches the Rfam family "Bacterial small subunit ribosomal RNA", at positions 524 to 776 of the family's 1533-position model. The record is from RNAcentral.
UACGAAGGGGGCGAGCGUUGUUCGGAUUUACUGGGCGUAAAGGGCGCGCAGGCGGCUUUGUUUGUCAGGCGUGAAAGCCCCGGGCUUAACCUGGGAACUGCGUUUGAUACGGCAGGGCUAGAGUUCGGGAGAGGAGCGUGGAAUUCCCAGUGUAGAGGUGAAAUUCGUAGAUAUUGGGAAGAACACCGGUGGCGAAGGCGGCGCUCUGGACCGAGACUGACGCUGAGGCACGAAAGCGUGGGGAGCAAACAGG